AAACACUUGAUACUAGCCAAACUGUGUCCUAAGCCUUGAGAAAAGGCUUGUGAUAUGUGAUACCUGGGUUUAAAAAAUGUAAUAUUAAAACAAAAGCCAUACGUUCUUAAAUCCAGGUGUAAAGACACACUGAGGGGUUGGAGCAAUAGCACAGAG
This is a non-coding RNA of Sorex fumeus (smoky shrew), 156 nucleotides long. RefSeq annotates it as small Cajal body-specific RNA 1. The record is from RefSeq and is a predicted model, not a curated record. The transcript has a single exon. NCBI's taxonomy places the organism in Eukaryota, Metazoa, Chordata, Mammalia, Eulipotyphla, Soricidae.